AUGAACGCUGGCGGCGUGCUUAACACAUGCAAGUCGAACGGAAAGGCCCAAGCUUGCUUGGGUACUCGAGUGGCGAACGGGUGAGUAACACGUGGGUGAUCUGCCCUGCACUUCGGGAUAAGCCUGGGAAACUGGGUCUAAUACCGGAUAGGACCACUUCUUGGAUGUUGUGGUGGAAAGUUUUUUCGGUGUGGGAUGAGCUCGCGGCCUAUCAGCUUGUUGGUGGGGUAAUGGCCUACCAAGGCGUCGACGGGUAGCCGGCCUGUGAGGGUGUACGGCCGCAUUGGGUCUGAGAUACGGCCCAGACUCCUACGGGUGGCAGCAGUGGGGAAUAUUGCACAAUGGGCGCAAGCCUGAUGCAGCGACGCCGCGUGGGGGAUGACGGCCUUCGGGUUGUAAACUCCUUUCGCUAGGGACGAAGCGUUUUGUGACGGUACCUGGAGAAGAAGCACCGGCUAACUACGUG
RNAcentral lists this ribosomal RNA (466 nucleotides) under uncultured bacterium. RNAcentral's name for it is "partial 16S ribosomal RNA". It matches the Rfam family "Bacterial small subunit ribosomal RNA", at positions 29 to 507 of the family's 1533-position model. The record is from RNAcentral.